RNAcentral lists this unclassified non-coding RNA (1494 nucleotides) under Hevea brasiliensis (rubber tree). Lineage: Eukaryota; Viridiplantae; Streptophyta; Magnoliopsida; Malpighiales; Euphorbiaceae. The record is from RNAcentral.
GAAUGAAGCUUAGUUGUUUUGGGUUAAAUUAUAUAUCUCUAGAAAAACAAUGAAUGGCUUCCUUCUAGAGUUUUUUUGAUGCGGGGCAUUUUGGCAUGUUCCUGCAGAAGGGCACUUUGGCACAGAACAGUACAUGCCAAGCUCCCAAACAGGCGCCUAGGGCAUGUGGCCUUCUGUCCAAGGGCAGCAGCAGUGUUUUUUUUGUCCAAAACUUGUUUCCAGCAGUCCUAAUUCACCUUGAACUUCUUAUUUUAUCAAGCAACAGCAGUGGAAAUUAGCUUAGAAUUAAUUUAGGGGCAUUCCAACUCUAUUUGGGAUUUAUUUAUGUUUUCCUAUUCUAUCUAGGAUUAGUUUAAUUACUAUUUUAUUUAUAUCUUCUUAUUGUAUUUAGCUUUAGCUAAACUUCCUAAUUGAUAGUUUCAUAUUCCUAUUAGGUUUGGGAGUCUAAAAGCUCUGUAAAUACCCUUUAUUUACAUGUAUUUCAGUUAAUAAAAAAAAUCCUGCAGAGAAUUUCUCUCAAUUUUCACUUGUGUGUGUGAGAGUGUGAGUUGUUUCUUAAGCUUCAUGCUGCAUUAUCUCUCUCUCUUGAAACAAUCUUUUUGUUGCCCACCAAUCAGAUGCCUGGAUCAUAGCAGAUACCAGCAUUGCAUAGCAUUGAGCUCAAAAGAUGACUAGAGCGCUAGCAGGGUGUUAAACUUUGGGAGUAGGCAGCUUGGGGCUAAACCUGGUGAAUUUUAGAUGAGCUUGGUACUUGUUGAUGUAGGAUACAACUAUGCUUGAGAGUGCUCAAUGGAUAGUGUAAGGAGGUAUGUGCUGAUGUUUGAGUUUAUGCUUUGGAGCUUUGCAUGCCAUUCUAAUCUUCCUCAGCUGAUGAGUGCUCUUCAUCAAUCGACUUCUUAUAGGUGUGAGGUUCUUGCCCUGUAGUCAUCAUGUCAUAGGUUUUCAUCUGAUGACCACAAACCAAUUUGUGGGGUCUGUGGCUGACUUUAAGCUUGUUCUAGGCUUUAACAUGUAGAAUCAUCCAUACAAGGAACAAUUGCCUCAUUCUAGCAGAUUCAACUAGAUCACGGCUCUCAGUAUGUUUCUUGCCACUCUCUUUAACUUUUUCUUCACUGAGAUUAUUUGCUUCAAUUCCAUUUGCGUGUAAUGCCCCUUUAGCCCAGAUAACUUAGGCUUGGUAAUCACAGGCACUUCCAAUGGUAACAAUGUUUUUAACAAUAUUUUUGAGAGCAAGGUUUGGGUGACACAUGGAACAUUUCAAUUGUCAGAUUCUCUCUCAUUUUCUUCUGAAUCCAUAAAGUUAUUCAAGCAGCAGCUAUGCCAUGUUUGCUUGCCUCUUUCUUUUCUUCUUGUGUCAAUCACUGGUUGGCAGUCCAUUUUUCUCCUGACAUUGGUUGUUAAAUAUGGUUCUUAAGCAAAACGUAUGCAUAUGAUACUUGUUCCUGAACUCAUACUUUUGAUUUAUUGCAGUGGAAUCCUUAUAGAGACCUUGGC